UACGGACGGGGCUAGCGUUGUUCGUCCUUACUGGGCGUAAAGAGCGCGUAGGCGGCUUCCCCAGUUGGGGGUGAAAUCCCGGAGCUCAACUCCGGAACUGCCUUCAAAACUGGUAGGCUCGAGUCCGGAAGAGGGGCGUGGAAUUCCCAGUGUAGAGGUGAAAUUCGUAGAUAUUGGGAAGAACACCGGUGGCGAAGGCGGCGCCCUGGUCCGGUACUGACGCUGAGGCGCGAAAGCGUGGGGAGCAAACAGG
Molecule: ribosomal RNA, 253 nt
Filed under: uncultured bacterium
Lineage: Bacteria
Description: partial 16S ribosomal RNA
Rfam family: Bacterial small subunit ribosomal RNA
Source: RNAcentral